This is a long non-coding RNA of Oreochromis niloticus (Nile tilapia), 2075 nucleotides long. NCBI's taxonomy places the organism in Eukaryota, Metazoa, Chordata, Actinopteri, Cichliformes, Cichlidae. The record is from Ensembl.
AUGAAGAUGAGGAAACUUUAUGAACACCUUCUGAGAAAAUUACAAGCUUCACCUCCUGCUGAAAGUUCUAUACCAGCAGCUGGACCAUCCUCUGCUGACAGUGUCGAUGCUGGACCAGUCCCAGACCCAGAGGCUCUAAACGAGGAAUUUAUUCUGCAUUUAGAGCCUGUACCAACAUCUUCCCUCUGUCAGCCUCCUGCAUCCUCCUCUCCAUCUCUGCUUCCUCCUGCACCCUCCUCUUCAUCUCUGCUUCCUCCUGCAUCCUCCUCUCUGUCUUUGCUUCCUCCUGCAUCCUCCUCUCCAUCUCUGCUUCGUCCUGCAUCCUCCUCUCUGUCUUUGCUUCCUCCUGCAUCCUCCUCUCCAUCUCUGCUUCCUCCUGCAUGCUCCUCUUCGUCUGUGCUUCCUCCUGCAUCCUCCUCUCAAUCUCCGCUUCCUGCAUCUCCCUCAAUUUCUACGGCGUACACCUCGGAUGUCCCAAACAAAAAAAGGACAAGGAAAGGUUAGACGUUAUGGUAUUGUAAAUGUACGAAACACAUGACAGGUUUGUAAAGUUUGUUAAGAUUUCUUUUUCUUAUUUUUUGCAUUUUGUCCAGUUUUACAGACCUUAUGUAAAUGUUUCAUUUGUUAUUUUUCAGAAUGCCGAAAACACCGUACACAGAAGAUUUUCAAAUAUGAAGAGAUAGUAGACAGGAGAGUUGUAAAUGUAAGCAAUUUAGCCUGCUGUUGUGCAGAUUUGUUUGCGUCUUUGUUUGCGUCUAUAUCUUGUAAAGCACUUUGUGAUCUCUAUCUAGAAAUGUGCUAUAUAAAUAAAAUUUUACUUACUUACUUACUUACUUACUUCCAGGAUUUGAACUGUGCCUGCCUGACUAUUGUAGGAAUGUUUAGCUUAUUUUAGAGUUUAGACAUGUAGGAAUGUUUAGUUUGUUUUAGAGUUUAGAAAUGUGUUAAGAUAGAAUGUAGAAUUAUGGUAGAGACACUGACACUGCCCUGGAUAUAAAUAAAGGCCUGACUGUGUCAUGAACUUAGGAGUAGAUCUUAGGAGACCCUCCCCAGUUGAACGGUGAAAGUAAGACAAAGAGGAGUUAAUGCUGAGUGGAAAUUCCCCAGAGGAUACCUGUGUGGGGGUCUCAACAUUUAACUUGAUAACUGUGGUCUGGAGGGGAGAUGGUAUUUAUGGCCCCUAGGAAGAGACACACACCCACAGUGUUUUAACUGAUACACUCACACAUCCACAUGCACACUCACUCACGUGCACGCACAUACCAGGUAUGCACACACAGUCACUCACGAGCACUCACAUAGACACGCGGGUACGCGCACACACAGGCACUCACGUGCUCAUGCACAUAGACACAGACACAGAGUUUGCAACACAUUGUGGGGGAUUUAUGAUGGGGUCGCCUCUAUAAAGCUCGCUGGAACUAACAAAGGGGUGAAGAUUGUUUCAGAGGGACACCGGCCUCGUCUUCCCUUCUAGAAGUGCAUGCUUAAAUGAAGAUGAAUAAAGAUGAAUAAAGAUUUUGUAAAAAUGACUACUGGGUCCGGUGCCAUCUCUGAAGGCCCGAGGAAUAAUAAAGAACCGGGGUAAAACUGAUUUCCCAACACUAUCUAUAAGCUUUUGUAUUUGAUGAAUCUACACUAAUUCAGCCACUGAGUCUGGAUUUCGCUCCAAGUAGGACAUUAAAUAGGAACAUACCACCUGAUACAACCUGGUUGUGCUGCCUUCCUGGUGUUUACGUUCUUUAAAGUCCUCCUGACAUCAUGCUCAGAAGGAGUGAUUGAUGUGGAGGUGCUCCUUCCCAUUCAGUAACAUCUGCUUCAGUUAGUUUUGCUUCUUAGCCACAAUGUAAGCAAUGUCGCUUUGCUGACAUGCACUCGAUGGUGGCAGUACAAGCAUUGUAGUGGUUCUUAUGUUUUUGUAAACUAAUUGUAUAAUAUAUUGAGCCAUUCAAUAGUACACAAAUGUUUAUAAGCUCCUUUUUGUAUGCAACUUGCAUGUCUUUCUGAAUUAACUGUUUGUUUAUAUCAUGUUUUUCAGGAAAAAGAAGAAGUUAAAGUCAAGUGGAAGCCCUGCU